UGGGGAAUCUUGGACAAUGGGGGAAACCCUGAUCCAGCCAUGCCGCGUGAUCGAUGAAGGCCUUAGGGUUGUAAAGAUCUUUCAGCUGGGAAGAUAAUGACGGUACCAGCAGAAGAAGCCCCGGCUAACUCCGUGCCAGCAGCCGCGGUAAUACGGAGGGGGCUAGCGUUGUUCGGAAUUACUGGGCGUAAAGCGCACGUAGGCGGAUCAGUCAGUCAGGGGUGAAAUCCCGGGGCUCAACCCCGGAACUGCCUUUGAUACUGCUGGUCUUGAGGUCGAGAGAGGUGAGUGGAAUUCCGAGUGUAGAGGUGAAAUUCGUAGAUAUUCGGAGGAACACCAGUGGCGAAGGCGGCUCACUGGCUCGAUACUGACGCUGAGGUGCGAAAGCGUGGGGAGCAAACA
This 402-nucleotide ribosomal RNA is filed under the name uncultured prokaryote. RNAcentral describes it as "bacterial SSU rRNA". It matches the Rfam family "Bacterial small subunit ribosomal RNA", at positions 355 to 774 of the family's 1533-position model. The record is from RNAcentral.